Salmo salar (Atlantic salmon) is the source of this 5879-nucleotide non-coding RNA. NCBI's taxonomy places the organism in Eukaryota, Metazoa, Chordata, Actinopteri, Salmoniformes, Salmonidae. The record is from RefSeq and is a predicted model, not a curated record.
UUCACUCCCUGUAAAAGACGCUCAGGUAGACAGUGCCUCCCCAGUGUAUCAGGCUGUCAUCAAGACUGCAGACAGGGACACGGAGUUGAAUGACUGGGCCCGCAGCUCCUCCCAGGUGCAGUCCAAGUCCUUCCGCCUCCUCGCCCACAUCACGGGAACGGAGUUCAUGCAAGACCCAGACGUGGAACAUCUGAGGAAAUCAAGCCAGUAUGGCCAGGCUCCCCCCAUGCAACAAGCCCCUCCCAUGUACCAGGGGCAAUCCAUGUACCAGGGGCCUCCCAUGCAGCAGGGGCCUCCCAUGCAGCAGGGGCCUCCCAUGUACCAAGGGCCUCCCAUGCAGCAGGGACCUCCCAUGUACCAGGGGCCCCCCAUGCACCAGGCCCCGCAUAUGCAGCAGCCUCCCAUGCAGCAGCCUCCCAUGCAGCAGCCUCCACACAUGCAGCAGCCUCCACACAUGCAGCAGCCUCCUCACAUGCAGCAGCCUCCUCACAUGCAGCAGUCUCCUCACAUGCAGCAAAGCUCCAUCCAGAUCCCUGUGGGCCCUCCCCCCACCAAAGGUGGUCAGCACCGCCUGCAUCGUGCCAGCUCCUGCCCCUGUUCCACCCCAAGCCGCCGCCCCUGAACCCCCCUCCAGCAGGCCCCCCUGGAUCACUGACGACUCUUUUGCCAACAAGUUUGACCCCAGCAAGACCACCAGCACCAGCAUGAAAGUGCCUGCUCUACCUCAGAGUGCCCCACCAGCACCGGUCUAUAUCCCACACCCUGGCUCUGCCCACACCCCUCACUCUGCCCCAAGCCCUGCCUAUAACCCAAGCCCUUCCCCCUACAACCCCACCCCUGCCCCUUUCAAUCCCGUUGCCCGGGGCGUUGCCCAAAGGGCGGAGCGCUUUCGCUGCCAACAGCAACAGAGCACCCCUCUGUGGAGCCUGCAACAACAUGAUCAGGGGACCCUUCCUGGUGGCCUUGGGUCGAUCCUGGCACCCAGAGGAGUUCAACUGUCACUAUUGCCACACAUCGCUGGCAGACUGCAGCUUUGUGGAGGAGCAGAACGCAGUGUACUGUGAGAACUGCUACGGAGAGUUCUUUGCCCCCACCUGUGCCCGCUGCAACACCAAGAUCAUGGGGGAGGUGAUGCAUGCUCUGCGGCAGACAUGGCACACCACCUGCUUUGUGUGUGCUGCCUGUGGCAAGGCCUUUGGAAAUAGCCUCUUCCACAUGGAGGACGGGGAGCCCUACUGCGAGAAAGAUUACAUUUCACUCUUCAGCACCAAGUGCCAUGGCUGUGACUUUCCAGUAGAAGCUGGAGACAAGUUCAUUGAAGCACUGGGUCAUACUUGGCACGACACCUGCUUUGUCUGUGCGGUGUGCAAUUUGAACCUUGAGGGCCAGCCCUUCUACUCCAAGAAGGACAAGCCCCUGUGCAAGAAGCACGCUCACGCCAUCAAUGUGUAGAUGCUCCAUCUGCAGUUUUAUGGGGUUUUGGGCAGGUGCUUACGUAGCUAUGCCCAAGCCUUGGCAAAGAGCCCUGUAGAGGGCAUUGAUGCCAGUCAAAAUGAUGAAAAACACAAGAUGAAGAUGAUAGCAACAAGAUUGACUGUUCAGUAAACUGAUCAAUCAGGCGUGACAAAAUUUAAGUAUUUUCAUUGGUACUGAAAUUCAAGACAAAACGGCCUAAAAUGCUGCAGCCCCCCACCCCCCGCCCCCCCCCCCCGAACAUGUGUUAUGUUUGUAUUUAUUAAUAUCACUUACAAAUGAAUUAUAUUAUAUCAGAGAAUUCUUAUGUAAAUUCUUUGCUACUCCACUCAGGUCCUGGAGGGCCUCAAUCCAGUGAGGCUGGAGCAAAAGCCUUAGCAGCCUACAGACACAGGCAGACUGAGUGGAGUAGCAGGGCAAUCAGUAAAUAAGAUGCCUUAUUUCACAGGAACACUGUGUGCUUUGUUUUGAAUGGAAAAAACCCAAAUAGCUUGCAGUGAAUGUAAUAAAACCGUUUUAGUAUCACAUCCAGUAGAUUAAACAUGACGAUGCCUCACGCUGACAUACAGAGCACAGAACGUGAACCGAUACAAUACACUGUAGCUUGACACAUGCAGGCCUACGGGUACUGUUUGAUUUCACAGAGGUAUUAUUAAAGUGACAGUUUAGUAAGUGAUAUUUAUUGCAUCUUUGGCAAAGUGUUAUUUAUUUACAUAGAAUAAAACGGAAGUAUAACAUCCAUGGAUGUUUUAUAUUGCUGAUCAAACAAAACAGUUAUAUUUGGACUUUUGCUGAAUUAUUUAGUUUUGUAUGAAGUUGCAUCAUACAGAGGUUCACAGUAUUAUAUGAAGAACCUGUUAUUCACUCUUUCAUCCUGGAUUUAUUUAUUUAUUAUAUACAAAGAUGGUGCUCUGUUACAUUAUGAUACAGUAAUACUAUACCAACGUUGGGGAUCCAGGUAGAAGAUGAGACAACACUUUGGCUAUAUUUGAACACUUUAUGGGGUAGGGAAGUUAGGUUUUUGGAAUGUGUCUCAUAAACGGGAUUUGCUCCUGACUGGAAAUCAAGGAACCACUCUGUGUCUUUUAUAGUAUGUAAUGGGAAUUUUGGGGAGGUGCACGGAUGGUGGACCAGAGCCAGAUGGAUAUGUCACAAUGGGCCGCCGGACUACUGUGUCUCCGCGGCUUUGGUCUCUGAAUUGCACUUAAGGGAGCCAAGCUCUGGCCUGGGGUCUUACAGAUACAUUUUACACAACAGAUGUCUAUGCAUGGUGAUAUGCCAUACACCCGUAUGAAGCGCUUCAUUUAAACAAGAAUGUAUAGGAAAUAUCUGUCAAGGCCAAAAACAGCCAAACACAAUCAUUUCUCUCUCACUAGCACACACACACCUUAAAGGUCAGUUGAGACAGUGUGCUUGUCUACAGACUUUAUACUUUGAGUUUAUUUUAUACAUCUUUGUGUAUUUUCUGUGUUUGUGUAAGUGUGUGUGCAUGCAUGAGUUUUGUACAUGAUUGUCAGUGCAUGUCUACUGAGGCAACAUCAGUAUUAGUUAUGUAUCUGUGCCACUAGAGUAGCAAAGCAUACUGUGAUUUUACAUAACACUGAGAACACUACACUGAGUACUUUUGAUAUGCAUACUGUAUGUGUGUAGAUCAACUGGUAAGAAUAAACCUUACAUGGUACCAUUGGAGGGAAAUGAAGACGGGCUUGAAUUGUUGCUAAAUAGUUGUUUACUGAAAGUUCAGCGUAUUGAAACUAGUUGUAUAGUUUCCAACCACUAGAGUGCAACAGAGUGUUGACACCAUUCUGCUACUUGGCAUGCCUCAGACACUAGUCACUAUAUAGUACACUCACUGUAUGUUCCCUCUGUCCCCACUCCAGAAAACACUACAAAGCCAUUUGUCACCCCUGUGGACUUCGUAUCCAACAGUUCAAUGUCAAGCUUUUUUCCAGGCCUCAUGUAUCAACCAGCAAUGUCAUUACAUUAACUCCAUAAUCAGAAAUUGUGGACAGCGUAGGGAAAACAAUUGUUUGGAUUAUUUAGAUGGUUCCCCUUUAAAAUAAAAUAAAAAGAAGACUAUUGAGUCAACAUGAUGAUAGAAAUGCUGUGCAUCCCGUUGAGGCUAUUUUUAGACAAUCAAAUAUAGUGUAUUUUGUGUCACCUGGUAUCUGAAGGACCAUGUCAGCAGCCCAAAAUGUCAAUAUCACUGCUUCCAAUGCUCACACGUUUCCUCUGUAGUCAACAUUGGCUAUAAUAACCCCAUGAAAGAAUAGUUAAGGACAUAUUUAAGGAGGACACAGUUUUAUAGAAUUUCACAGUCCAUUCCCAAAUGACUAUAACUUCUCUCUGCCAUCAGGCAUUCAUUCCAUUUAGGUAAGAGGCCUCUGGUGCAUCUCUGUCCUCUGUAACGAGAGACUUAAGUAGCCUUCAUCGUUCUCUUCACUCUUGACACUUCCCUCCCUCCUGGCUAGUUCUCACUAAACAGUCUAUAUGGCACACAGGUUACUUUUCUAUGACACUGUAUUAAGACAAUCCUUUUCAAUUUCAGGCUGCUGAGUGGUCUUUUAGAUGUUGGUUCACACAUUAUUUCUGUUUGUACUGCUGUUUAGUAAACACUUGUGAGGCUGCAAGAUGUAUAUCCAAUGUGCAAAAGGGAUUGCUUCUUCUUCCAUGUUCUGUGUUUUGAUCGGGGAAGGUAUUUUUUUUUCUAGAGUAGUAUUUUUGUAUUAGAAUAGGUAUAUACUUGGCAUGAGAUAACAACCACACUCUUAAAUCCGAUCAUUGAUUUGCUUAUAUGUUUUUGAAGCAGUAACUGAAAUACGGCUUUGAUCUUUGAGUAGUUGUAGGCCGUCAAUGUUUUUUUUUCUUUGGCAUGGACUGUGUGGGAGGAAUAGGGUUGUUGUCAUUGUUCUGUUGUACAUUAUUAAUAACACAUGAAUUAGUGGUUCAUCUCUUGCUGCAUUUGUACUUAGAACCCUAUCGUCUAUAUAGACAAGGUCUUUUUAUGUGGAACGUUGAUGUGUUUGGAUUGUAACCCCAUAUUUCAAACGACUCACCCUGCCUGGCCUACCAUAACACUAACUAGACUUAGAAAUAGGAACACGUUUUAUGCAUUGCUUUAUUAAGUGAAAUGCAUCUGACUGCUAUCAGAACAGAGUUACAUGGAGAAAGGAUAUACCUUGACGAUUGAAGAAUUUAACAGGAGUCUAUCGGGGUGUGUGUGUAUCUAUCUUGGAAAGGAAAUGGGCUUGAUUUCGUCUCUCUUGAGAACUUCCUGGAUUGGACAAUGUUUGAGGGGCCUUAAUUUAUGCAUGCUGUAGCCUAUUAAAUACCAUGACCUUAAUUUAUAUUGUUCAGCAAAGACUACGAAUCACCAUUAUGUUUUUGUUUUACAACCACAAGUAUGCCUGUAUUACCAGAGUCAAUGUUGAUAGGCUGCUGGUAUCUCUAGAUCUCUAGGGAGUUGUUCCACAAAAUGGGUGCCUCUUGCGUCCAUUUGAUAUUUAAGUAGAACUUGUGCAACAAUAUUACAUUUUAAAAGCCUGUUAUAUUAUAUGAAGUGCCCUUUUAAUACAGACCAUAUGGAGAAUCCAAUAAAUAUAUAUUUUUUUUUUAUGUGAAUAAAGGCAACCUAAAGUGCCAAAAUUCAGCAUUUUGAUGCCCCUCCAUCAACCCUGUGUCACUUCUUCUAGGAAGAUUUCAACCCACUUACUCAAAACAUUUGUCACCAUCAUUGUAAAGCCCUAGUUAUUUUUGUUGCUUUGACAAAGUAAUUUGAAGAUUAUUUAUUUCAUGUGAUUAUUGAUUCAUUUACGCCUGUCCCUCAUUUUCGUGAUCCCUGUUAUGUGAACUGAACUUUUGUUUUAAUAUGGUGAAACUAUUUAUUUUAAAAUAUUUUUUUUAAAGAAACAUUUAACAUUAAUUGUCAAAUCAUAGUUUAAAAGCAGGUGAUAUGGUUUGACUAUCUUUGGCCAUUUUCUGGUGUUUUGUGGUGGGAAACUGAGCAGGUCGAACAUAACACGUCAACCCAGUUACCCAUAGAUAGACAGGCUAGAAAUGUUUUUUUUUCUCGGGAAGCUGAUAUUCACUUGCCACUCCCUGUUGCACAGAAGCGUCCAUUCCCCCUGUCACAAGGGGAUUUGUGGUUGAUUUAAGAAGAAAUAGUCAACCCUGUUACUUUAUUUUGAUUUGAUUUAUUUGGCACUUUAAUAGGCCCUUUCUAUAGUCAUUUUUGUUAUUUAAAAAACCUCUUGAGAUGAGAACAUGUUUUUUAUGAAUUUGAACAUGUCCUCUUGACAAUGUUAAACUUUGGUGAAAUUACACUUCUCAAAAGGCACUGAAUUGGUGGAAUGACCCUAGGAUGGUUUGAAUCUUUGAAAUUUGUCAAUAAACAUUUUAUUUCACAA